Molecule: ribosomal RNA, 460 nt
Filed under: uncultured bacterium
Lineage: Bacteria
Description: partial 16S ribosomal RNA
Rfam family: Bacterial small subunit ribosomal RNA
Source: RNAcentral
CCUACGGGAGGCUGCAGUGAGGAAUAUUGGUCAAUGGCCGGAAGGCUGAACCAGCCAUGCCGCGUGAAGGUCAGUGCCCUAUGGGCGUUAAACUUCUUUUGUGCGGGAGCAAUAAUGGUCACGUGUGGCCAGACGAGAGUACCGUACGAAUAAGCAUCGGCUAACUCCGUGCCAGCAGCCGCGGGAAUACGGGGGAUGCAAGCGUUAUCCGGAUUUAUUGGGUUUAAAGGGUGCGUAAGCUGUGAGGUAAGUCAGCGGGGAAAUGCCCCCGCUCAAAGGGGUGAAGUGCCAUUGAUACUGCCUUGCUGGAAUGCGGAUGCGGUAGGAGGAAUGUGUGGUGUAGCGGUGAAAUGCAUAGAUAUCACACAGAACACCGAUUGCGAAGGCAUCUCACGAAUCCGCGAUUGACGCUGAUGCACGAAAGCGUGGGUAUCAAACAGGAUUAGAUACCCCAGUAGUC